GUGCCAGCCGCCGCGGUAAUACGUAGGUGGCAAGCGUUGUCCGGAUUUACUGGGCGUAAAGGGCGUGUAGGCGGAUAUUUAAGUGAGAUGUGAAAUCCCCGGGCUUAACUUGGGGGGUGCAUUUGAAACUGGAUGUCUUGAGUGCAGAAGAGGAAAGCAGAAUUCCUAGUGUAGCGGUGAAAUGCGUAGAGAUUAGGAAGAAGACCAGUGGCGAAGGCGGCUUUCUGG
RNAcentral lists this ribosomal RNA (228 nucleotides) under uncultured bacterium. RNAcentral's name for it is "partial 16S rRNA". It matches the Rfam family "Bacterial small subunit ribosomal RNA", at positions 505 to 732 of the family's 1533-position model. The record is from RNAcentral.